CCUGCUGCUUUUUCCUGUUACUUCUGUCCUCACCCGGCAUAAAUUUACUCGUGAUCUGCUCAUGACAGCUUCAUUCCAUUGCUUCUUCAGGCAUGACUUUCGAUGGAUCCUUGGAAACUGCUGCCCCCAAAGCACACUUGACAGUGAUUCAGUAGAAUAACCAGAGCUAGUAGAUGUCCGCUGGGGAACCUUAUUGAAGGAUUCAUCACGUGACUGAAUGCUUGAUUCAGAAAACACUGGGAAUGGCACUUGUAGAACCUGCACGACAUAGAGUACUCUCACAUCGCCAAAGAGGGAUCUUUU
This 303-nucleotide long non-coding RNA is filed under the name Populus trichocarpa (black cottonwood). RNAcentral describes it as "long non-coding RNA (PTRI_LNC002215)". The record is from RNAcentral. Lineage: Eukaryota; Viridiplantae; Streptophyta; Magnoliopsida; Malpighiales; Salicaceae.